RNAcentral lists this ribosomal RNA (327 nucleotides) under Triticum aestivum (bread wheat). RNAcentral describes it as "partial small subunit ribosomal RNA". Lineage: Eukaryota; Viridiplantae; Streptophyta; Magnoliopsida; Poales; Poaceae. The record is from RNAcentral.
AUGCAUGCAUGCGCACGCUUCAUCGCGUACGUACGUACGUGCACGGUCGAUCAGUUUCUAGACACUCGAUCGUGGCUACAAGACCUAGCAGCUUACUUGCCGGGCACAAAGUUGGUGGCGAAGGCCCAGGCGUUGUUGUUGACGGGGUCGGCGAGGUGGUCGGCGAGGUUCUCGAGGGGGCCCUUGCCGGUGACGAUGGCCUGCACGAAGAAGCCGAACAUGGAGAACAUGGCGAGGCGGCCGUUCUUGAUCUCCUUCACCUUGAGCUCCGCGAACGCCUCGGGGUCGUCGGCGAGGCCCAGGGGGUCGAAGCUGCCGCCGGGGUAG